This is a long non-coding RNA of Molossus molossus (Pallas's mastiff bat), 188 nucleotides long. RefSeq lists it as uncharacterized. Lineage: Eukaryota; Metazoa; Chordata; Mammalia; Chiroptera; Molossidae. The record is from RefSeq and is a predicted model, not a curated record. The transcript is spliced from 3 exons.
AGUGGCAGAACAUCCUCGGUGGUCUUAUAAAAUCCAGUCUUUGAAGUUGUACUCUUUGAACUUGGAGACUCAGGAUCCUAGCAACCAUUCUAAGGUAAUUAUCAACUGACAGAAGAGAACAUUUAGAAAGAAAUUUUCCCCAAGACAUGGCCUAUUGCAUCGGUGCUGAUAUCCUUUCAAGAACCUAC